RNAcentral lists this transfer RNA (85 nucleotides) under Felis catus (domestic cat). It matches the Rfam family "tRNA". From Rfam's summary of the family: Transfer RNA (tRNA) molecules are approximately 80 nucleotides in length. Their secondary structure includes four short double-helical elements and three loops (D, anti-codon, and T loops). Further hydrogen bonds mediate the characteristic L-shaped molecular structure. tRNAs have two regions of fundamental functional importance: the anti-codon, which is responsible for specific mRNA codon recognition, and the 3' end, to which the tRNAs corresponding amino acid is attached (by aminoacyl-tRNA synthetases). tRNAs cope with the degeneracy of the genetic code in two manners: having more than one tRNA (with a specific anti-codon) for a particular amino acid; and 'wobble' base-pairing, i.e. permitting non-standard base-pairing at the 3rd anti-codon position. The record is from Rfam by way of RNAcentral. Lineage: Eukaryota; Metazoa; Chordata; Mammalia; Carnivora; Felidae.
GCCUGCAUGGCUCAGUCGGCUAAGCGUCUGACUUCAGCUCAGGUCACGAUCUCGCGGUCCGUGGGUUCAAGCCCCACGUCGGGCU